UAUUGAAAGUGAAGGAAGAAGGUGUGUGGCUGAGACUCCCUGAACAAACCACCUAUCAAGCAACUGGUCUUUGAGGAUCCACUGUCUGAGGUGUCACAUAGAUAAUGGAUGAAUUCAACCUGGCUAACAACUUAAAGAGAUUGAACUGCUUGCCAGCCAUAAGGAGGAAGGAAGGAGAGAGACUACAUGAAUCAUAUAACUUCAGAAAACUUAUGUAGACAUUUAUUAAAAAUU
RNAcentral lists this long non-coding RNA (234 nucleotides) under Monodelphis domestica (gray short-tailed opossum). RNAcentral describes it as "lncRNA (ENSMODG00000047822.1)". Lineage: Eukaryota; Metazoa; Chordata; Mammalia; Didelphimorphia; Didelphidae. The record is from RNAcentral.